GAGGGAGAAGCUAUUGUAAGCAUUUGGCUGUUAAUCAAAGAUAGCAUUUUUAAUGCCUUCCUUA
RNAcentral lists this transfer RNA (64 nucleotides) under Phyllidiella pustulosa. RNAcentral's name for it is "tRNA-Asn". Lineage: Eukaryota; Metazoa; Mollusca; Gastropoda; Nudibranchia; Phyllidiidae. The record is from RNAcentral.